GACGAACGCUGGCGGCAUGCCUAAUACAUGCAAGUCGAGCGAACAGAUGAAGUGCUUGCACUUCUGACGUUAGCGGCGAACGGGUGAGUAACACGUAAGGAAUCUACCUAUAAGCGGGGGAUAACAUUCGGAAACGGGUGCUAAUACCGCAUAAUAUCUUCUUCCGCAUGGAAGAAGAUUGAAAGACGGCUCUGCUGUCACUUAUAGAUGACCUUGCGGUGCAUUAGUUAGUUGGUGGGGUAAUGGCCUACCAAGACGAUGAUGCAUAGCCGACCUGAGAGGGUGAUCGGCCACAUUGGGACUGAGACACGGCCCAAACUCCUACGGGAGGCAGCGGUAGGGAAUCUCCCGCAAUGGGCGAAAGCCUGACGGAGCAAUGCCGCGUGAGUGAAGAAGGCCUUCGGGUCGUAAAACUCUGUUAUAAGAGAAGAACAAAUUGUAGAGUAACUGCUACAGUCUUGACGGUAUCUUAUCAGAAAGCCACGGCUAACCACGUGCCAGCCGCCGCCGUAA
Molecule: ribosomal RNA, 513 nt
Filed under: uncultured bacterium
Lineage: Bacteria
Description: partial 16S ribosomal RNA
Rfam family: Bacterial small subunit ribosomal RNA
Source: RNAcentral